UCUUCCCCUCAAAUGCACGCUACCACGUCCUCCACAAUCAGGCCACUAGUCCAACCCAGAGCCCACAAUAAUAAAUAAGACCUAGGCUUGGAUCGAGACAUGGCCCAUACUUAUCUAGAUGGUCCAAGCUCACCUAUCUCUAGCCUGAUCUUGGGCCUCAGUCCAAGCCUCAGCCCAAUACCCACCCAAGCUCGGCCCUAAACUUCAUUUUUUUUAAAUUGGAUCUCUGGAUCGAGGCUCGAUCUAUGUUUAUCUUGCGUCAGUGCAUACAAAUCCAACUAAAGCCUAUUUUAUCAUUUUUUUUCCUUCCCAUGCUCACCUACAUCCGACCUAUGCCCACCUAUCCCUGACACAUCUUCACACUAUUCAUUGAGCCUAAGCCGAGCCCAAGUCUCAAUCCAAGCUCCAACCAUGAUUCUGAGCCUCUGGCCCUAAACCUUUUUCUUUGUUUAACAGAAGCUUUGGACUAAGGCCCAAUCCAUGUUUACUUUCCCUGGUCCAUACAGAUGCAACUAUCGCAUGUGUUUAACCUUUAUUUAUUUAUUUUUUUUUUUGCAAAC
This 560-nucleotide long non-coding RNA is filed under the name Elaeis guineensis (African oil palm). RNAcentral describes it as "long non-coding RNA (EGUI_LNC035733)". Lineage: Eukaryota; Viridiplantae; Streptophyta; Magnoliopsida; Arecales; Arecaceae. The record is from RNAcentral.